RNAcentral lists this ribosomal RNA (424 nucleotides) under uncultured bacterium. Its description in RNAcentral is "bacterial SSU rRNA". It matches the Rfam family "Bacterial small subunit ribosomal RNA", at positions 355 to 776 of the family's 1533-position model. The record is from RNAcentral.
UGAGGAAUAUUGGUCAAUGGGCGCAAGCCUGAACCAGCCAUGCCGCGUGCAGGAUGACGCAUCUAUGGUGUGUAAACUGCUUUUGUACAGGAAGAAACAGUUCUUUGCGAAGAACCUUGACGGUACUGUAAGAAUAAGGAUCGGCUAACUCCGUGCCAGCAGCCGCGGUAAUACGGAGGAUCCAAGCGUUAUCCGGAAUCAUUGGGUUUAAAGGGUCCGUAGGCGGCCUUAUAAGUCAGCGGUGAAAGUUUUUGGCUUAACCAAAAAAUUGCCAUUGAUACUGUAGGGCUUGAAUGUUUGUGAAGUAACUAGAAUAUGUAGUGUAGCGGUGAAAUGCUUAGAUAUUACAUGGAAUACCAAUUGCGAAGGCAGGUUACUAACAAAUGAUUGACGCUGAUGGACGAAAGCGUGGGUAGCGAACAGG